GAUGAACGCUGGCGGCGUGCUUAACACAUGCAAGUCGAACGAUGAAGCCCAGCUUGCUGUGCGGUUUAGUGGCGAACGGGUGAGUAACACGUGAGUAACCUGCCCUUCACUCUGGGAUAAGCCUGUGAAACUGGGUCUAAUACCGGAUAGGAGCGUCCACCGCAUGGUGGGUGUUGGAGAGAUUUAUCGGUUUUGGAUGGACUCGCGGCCUAUCAGCUUUUUGGUGAGGGAGUGGCUCACCAAGGCGAUGACGGGUAGCCGGCCUGAGAGGGUGACCGGCCACACGGGGACUGCGAGAGGGCGCAGACGCCAACGGGAGGCAGCAGGCGAGAGUAUUGCGCAACGGGGGCAAGCCUGAUGCAGCGGCCCCGCGUGCGGGAUGCCGGCCUUCUGGUUGUAAACCUCUGUCAGUAGGGAAGAAGCGAAAGUGACGGUACCUGCAGAAGAAGCACCGGCUAACUACGUG
This 466-nucleotide ribosomal RNA is filed under the name uncultured bacterium. RNAcentral describes it as "partial 16S ribosomal RNA". It matches the Rfam family "Bacterial small subunit ribosomal RNA", at positions 28 to 507 of the family's 1533-position model. The record is from RNAcentral.